UGGGGAAUAUUGCACAAUGGAGGAAACUCUGAUGCAGCGACGCCGCGUGAGUGAAGAAGGUCUUCGGAUCGUAAAACUCUGUCCUUGGUGACGAAAAAAAUGACGGUAGCCAAGGAGGAAGCCCCGGCUAACUACGUGCCAGCAGCCGCGGUAAUACGUAGGGGGCGAGCGUUGUCCGGAUUUACUGGGCGUAAAGGGUGAGUAGGCGGUAAUAUGUGUCAGAUGUAAAAGGCUAUGGCUUAACCAUAGUUGGCAUUUGAAACUGUAUUACUUGAGUGCAGGAGAGGUAAGUGGAAUUCCUAGUGUAGCGGUGAAAUGCGUAGAUAUUAGGAUGAACACCAGUGGCGAAGGCGACUUACUGGACUGUAACUGACGCUGAGUCACGAAAGCGUGGGUAGCAAACA
Molecule: ribosomal RNA, 404 nt
Filed under: uncultured bacterium
Lineage: Bacteria
Description: bacterial SSU rRNA
Rfam family: Bacterial small subunit ribosomal RNA
Source: RNAcentral